AUGGAUCUCAUCCACGGGAACAUGAAGCACCUAUGGGUCUUUCUCUUUGUGGUGGCAGCUCCCAGAGGUAUUCUGUCUCAGGUGCAGCUGAAGGAGUCAGGCCCAGGAGUGGUGAAGCCCUCGCAGACCCUGUCCCUCACCUAUGCUGUCUCUGGAUUCUCUCUAAGCAGCUACGCUGUAGGCUGGGUCCGCCAGACUCCCGGAAAGGGGCUGGUAUGGGUUGGUGUAAUAGAUAGUGAUGGUUGCACAUAUUAUAACCCAGCUCUGAAGUCCCGGCUCAGCAUCACCAAGGACACCUCCAAGAGCCAAGUUUAUUUACAACUGACCUCUGUGAAUCCUGAGGACACGGCCAUGUAUUACUGUGCAGGAGGCACAGUGAGGGGAAGUCAUUGUACAGAAGAGUACCUGGUGUGUGACUGGCUCUCAGAUCUCCAAGUGAAUGAAUGA
Loxodonta africana (African savanna elephant) is the source of this 447-nucleotide non-coding RNA. NCBI's taxonomy places the organism in Eukaryota, Metazoa, Chordata, Mammalia, Proboscidea, Elephantidae. The record is from the annotation of a RefSeq genome assembly.